GGUGGGGCUGAUGACUGGGGUGAAGUCGUAACAAGGUAUCCGUACCGGAGGGUGCGGAUGGAUCACCUCCUAACAGGGAGACAACACAAUGAUUUUGAUGCCUGAGUGCUUUUAUUCUUAGGCCGAAAUCCUGUCACCUUAGGUCGAUCGGUACCUCAGCUUUGAAGUUAAGAAUCAGCAGCAAUGUUGAUUGCUUGAUGGAGAUUUUCAGUUCCUAAACUUUGUCUAGGUCACACCCCAAAAGGGAUGAGACUCCUGGGCCAUUAGCUCAGGUGGUUAGAGCGCACCCCUGAUAAGGGUGAGGUCCCUGGUUCAAGUCCAGGAUGGCCCAUUCGGUGUUGGGGGUUUAGCUCAGUUGGUAGAGCGCCUGCUUUGCAAGCAGGAUGUCAGGAGUUCGAGUCUCCUAACCUCCACUGACCGAACUUGAUUCCCAUCUCCAAUUUUGGAGUUGAGCUCGAUUGGAGUGUGAUUUAGAUGUGUCCGCUGGAUGACCCCAGCUUCCUGUCAUUCCAAGUUUUAGGUUGAAGCCUUGAAUUUGGUUGAUAAGAUGCUGGGCUCGGAUCAAAUGAUCAAGCAAUUGAUGAUUUGAUUUGAAGUUCUAGCAGAACCUUGACAACUGCAUAGGUGAGUCUGGAAAAAACUAAGCAUCUUACAGAUGCAUUGUUUUGAAUCUGAUCUUCUGAAAGGGAGAUUGGAUCUAGA
RNAcentral lists this unclassified non-coding RNA (702 nucleotides) under uncultured Synechococcus sp. RNAcentral describes it as "partial may contain 16S ribosomal RNA, 16S-23S ribosomal RNA intergenic spacer, and 23S ribosomal RNA". The stretch from base 341 to 413 matches the Rfam family "tRNA". Lineage: Bacteria; Bacillati; Cyanobacteriota; Cyanophyceae; Synechococcales; Synechococcaceae. The record is from RNAcentral.